Molecule: ribosomal RNA, 440 nt
Filed under: uncultured bacterium
Lineage: Bacteria
Description: partial 16S ribosomal RNA
Rfam family: Bacterial small subunit ribosomal RNA
Source: RNAcentral
CCUACGGGAGGCUGCAGUGGGGGAUAUUGCACAAUGGGGGGAACCCUGAUGCAGCGACGCCGCGUGGGUGAAGAAGCGCCUCGGCGCGUAAAGCCCUGUCAGCAGGGAAGAAAAUGACGGUACCUGAAGAAGAAGCCCCGGCUAACUACGUGCCAGCAGCCGCGGUAAUACGUAGGGGGCAAGCGUUAUCCGGAUUUACUGGGUGUAAAGGGGGCGGAGACGGCGAUGCAAGCCAGGAGUGAAAGCCCGGGGACCAACCCCGGGACUGCUCUUGGAACUGCGUGGCUGGAGUGCAGGAGGGGCAGGUGGAAUUCCUGGUGUAGCGGUGAAAUGCGUAGAUAUCAGGAGGAACACAGGUGGCGAAGGCGGCCUGCUGGACUGCAACUGACGUUGAGGCCCGAAAGCGUGGGGAGCAAACAGGAUUAGAUACCCUAGUAGUC